This 69-nucleotide transfer RNA is filed under the name Dryocopus pileatus. RNAcentral describes it as "tRNA-Arg". Lineage: Eukaryota; Metazoa; Chordata; Aves; Piciformes; Picidae. The record is from RNAcentral.
AGAGAGUUAGUCUAACCAAGACAGUUGAUUUCGGCUCAACGGAUCAUAGACCUACCCUAUGACUCUCUA